CGGGCUGUGGCGCAGCUUGGUAGCGCGCCUCGUUCGGGACGAGGAGGUCGCGGGUUCAAGUCCCGCCAGCCCGACCA
RNAcentral lists this transfer RNA (77 nucleotides) under Gemmatimonadota bacterium. RNAcentral's name for it is "Gemmatimonadetes bacterium tRNA-Pro". It matches the Rfam family "tRNA". Rfam says of the family: Transfer RNA (tRNA) molecules are approximately 80 nucleotides in length. Their secondary structure includes four short double-helical elements and three loops (D, anti-codon, and T loops). Lineage: Bacteria; Pseudomonadati; Gemmatimonadota. The record is from RNAcentral. RNAcentral also lists the same sequence under 1 other name.